RNAcentral lists this unclassified non-coding RNA (231 nucleotides) under fungal sp. Its description in RNAcentral is "partial internal transcribed spacer region". The stretch from base 1 to 47 matches the Rfam family "Eukaryotic small subunit ribosomal RNA", at positions 1785 to 1831 of the family's 1831-position model. Lineage: Eukaryota; Fungi. The record is from RNAcentral.
AAAGUCGUAACAAGGUUUCCGUAGGUGAACCUGCGGAAGGAUCAUUAACACUUUUUAUUAUUUUGUUUUUUUUCUAAAACAAAAUUUAAAACCCCACAAUUUUGGAUGAAUUUAAUUAAUUUAUUUUUUAUUUUAUUUUUUUUUAUUAUAACCCUAUUAUUUGACUAACAUUUUUAUUUAAUUAUUAAAAAAUUAAAAAAACAACUCUUAACAACGGAUAUCUUGUCUCUC